GCAUAACGCGAAGAACCUUACCCACCUUUGACAUGUACGGAAUCCUUUAGAGAUAGAGGAGUGCUCGAAAGAGAGCCGUAACACAGGUGCUGCAUGGCUGUCGUCAGCUCGUGUCGUGAGAUGUUGGGUUAAGUCCCGCAACGAGCGCAACCCUUGCCAUUAGUUGCUACGAAAGGGCACUCUAAUGGGACUGCCGGUGACAAACCGGAGGAAGGUGGGGAUGACGUCAAGUCCUCAUGGCCCUUAUAGGUGGGGCUACACACGUCAUACAAUGGCUGGUACAGAGGGUUGCCAAGCCGCGAGGUGGAGCUAAUCCCAGAAAACCGAUCGUAGUCCGGAUCGCAGUCUGCAACUCGACUGCGUGAAGUCGGAAUCGCUAGUAAUCGCGAAUCAGAAUGUCGCGGUGAAUACGUUCCCGGGUCUUGUACACACCG
RNAcentral lists this ribosomal RNA (434 nucleotides) under uncultured bacterium. RNAcentral describes it as "bacterial SSU rRNA". It matches the Rfam family "Bacterial small subunit ribosomal RNA", at positions 954 to 1392 of the family's 1533-position model. The record is from RNAcentral.